UGUCGGGUCUUAUUGACUUGGUAACGCAGCUAACGCGUGAAGUAGACCGCCUGGGGAGUACGGUCGCAAGAUUAAAACUCAAAGGAAUUGACGGGGACCCGCACAAGCGGUGGAUGAUGUGGAUUAAUUCGAUGCAACGCGAAAAACCUUACCUACCCUUGACAUGUACAGAAUCCCGAAGAGAUUUGGGAGUGUUCGAAAGAAAACUGUAACACAGGUGCUGCAUGGCUGUCGUCAGCUCGUGUCGUGAGAUGUUGGGUUAAGUCCCGCAACGAGCGCAACCCUUGUCAUUAGUUGCUACGAAAGGGCACUCUAAUGAGACUGCCGGUGACAAACCGGAGGAAGGUGGGGAUGACGUCAAGUCCUCAUGGCCCUUAUGGGUAGGGCUUCACACGUCAUACAAUGGUACAUACAGAGGGCCGCCAACCCGCGAGGGGGAGCUAAUCCCAGAAAGUGUAUCGUAGUCCGGAUUGUAGUCUGCAACUCGACUACAUGAAGUUGGAAUCGCUAGUAAUCGCGGAUCAGCAUGUCGCGGUGAAUACGUUCCCGGGUCUUGCACUCACCGCCCGUCA
Molecule: ribosomal RNA, 572 nt
Filed under: Oxalobacteraceae bacterium
Lineage: Bacteria; Pseudomonadati; Pseudomonadota; Betaproteobacteria; Burkholderiales; Oxalobacteraceae
Description: bacterial SSU rRNA
Rfam family: Bacterial small subunit ribosomal RNA
Source: RNAcentral